Molecule: microRNA precursor, 96 nt
Filed under: Cajanus cajan (pigeon pea)
Lineage: Eukaryota; Viridiplantae; Streptophyta; Magnoliopsida; Fabales; Fabaceae
Description: miRNA gene-KK1_050190
Source: RNAcentral
AAAAUUUUUUACACUGACAACUAAUCAUAUCUUUUAAUAGUGACAUGUCAGUUGCUUCUUUAAAAGAUAUGAUUGGUUGCCAGUGUAAAAAACUUU